GUCGUCAGCUCGUGUCGUGAGAUGUUGGGUUAAGUCCCGCAACGAGCGCAACCCUCAUCCUUAGUUGCCAUCACGUUUGGGUGGGCACUCUAGGGAAACUGCCGGUGCUAAGCCGGAGGAAGGCGGGGAUGACGUCAAGUCAGCAUGCCCCUUACAACCUGGGCUACACACGUGCUACAAUGGCUGGUACAGAGGGUCGCGAAGUCGCGAGGCGAAGCUAAUCCCUUAAAGCCAGUCGUAGUCCGGAUCGGAGUCUGCAACUCGACUCCG
This 270-nucleotide ribosomal RNA is filed under the name Durinskia baltica. RNAcentral describes it as "partial Bacterial small subunit ribosomal RNA". It matches the Rfam family "Bacterial small subunit ribosomal RNA", at positions 1051 to 1320 of the family's 1533-position model. Lineage: Eukaryota; Dinophyceae; Peridiniales; Kryptoperidiniaceae. The record is from RNAcentral.